CCUACGGGAGACAGCAGUGAGGAAUAUUGGUCAAUGGAAGAGAGUCUGAACCAGCCAAGUAGCGUGAGGGAUGACGGCCCUAUGGGUUGUAAACUUCUUUUGUCGGAGAAUAAAACGCGGCACGUGUGCCGUUUUGCGUGUACUUUAUGAAUAAGAAUCGGCUAACUCCGUGCCAGCAGUCGCGGUAAUACGGAGGAUGCGAGCGUUAUCCGGAUUUAUUGGGUUUAAAGGGAGCGUAGAGUGGUUGGUAAGUCAGUCGUGAAAGUUUGGGGCUCAACCGUGUAAGUGCCAUUGAAACUGGCAGACUUGAGUAGAGUUGAGGUAGGCGGAAUUCGCGGUGUAGCGGUGAAAUGCUUAGAUAUCACGCAGAACCCCGAUUGCGAAGGCAGCUUACCAAACUGAGACUGACACUGAUGCUCGAAAGCGUGGGUAUCAAACAGGAUUAGAUACCCCAGUAGUC
This 460-nucleotide ribosomal RNA is filed under the name uncultured bacterium. RNAcentral's name for it is "partial 16S ribosomal RNA". It matches the Rfam family "Bacterial small subunit ribosomal RNA", at positions 338 to 795 of the family's 1533-position model. The record is from RNAcentral.